Papaver somniferum (opium poppy) is the source of this 2475-nucleotide long non-coding RNA. RefSeq lists it as uncharacterized. The record is from RefSeq and is a predicted model, not a curated record. Lineage: Eukaryota; Viridiplantae; Streptophyta; Magnoliopsida; Ranunculales; Papaveraceae. The transcript is spliced from 5 exons.
UAAAUUCGUUCUCCGUCGGUGCCUCAUAAAUUCGUUCUCCAUGAUUCAGUACCUUCUUCUUUAAUCUUCUGUAACGCUUCAAAAGAUGCUUUAAAAAACAAAAAAUAUAUGCAACUCUAGAAUCAUCCACGACAACCAUCAAGAUGAGAAACCCUUGCUUAACCAUUUCAAUAUUUUCGUUCCAGAAACAAUAAAAAGACCCCCAAAUUUUGCUUCUUUCUCAAGAACAGAAGGUUCAUUUUCUCUUUGAUUUCAGCUUACAAAAGCUAGAAAUCUCUUGGUGAAAUUCUUAUUUAGGGAUGAUUUCCUUUAGGGUUUUGAAUGUGCAGCUAUUGAGGAGAUAUUAUAUUGAACUUCGGUAAUUGAAGCUUAGGGGAUUUAGUUAGUCAAUUGGAUGUUUUAAUUCAAAGGUCAGAAAACAGUUUCCUGGAAACGAGAACCCUGUCAUGCUCGCAUUGCAAACUGCACUUCAGUGUAAGCGUUGUGGGGUACUCCACAUACAAUCUCUUCAACACCGCUUCCAAGAGGUCUAUACAGAAACUCACUCCAUGGCAUCCCAAAUCACUUGGAUCCCUCAAGCUCAAAAAUAGAAUCAAUUACAAAACGUUUCACAGGUGGGUUUGAGAAUGUGGGGUUGUAAUUGAUGUAUUGAUUAUAUCUAUUAAACCAAAUAAUUCUGCAGCUAGAAGUUGUUUAAGUGCGAUUUGGAAGAAACCUCCAUUUUGAUAGUCAUUGUGCCUGCCAUGUUGGUUUCAUCUUUCAUGCAAACCCUUUAGACGGUUCUAUAUUUUGGGUUAGAUUUACUCUCACCAAAAGUCUUUAAUCCCCUAUUUAAGUUGUAUUUUUCUGAUUGUAAUUGUGUUUGUUUUCUUUCAUUAAAUUUAGGUUCAUACAUACACACAGUCUAUGGAAUCCCAAGUCAGUUGCAGCCUUCCAAAGUUACCUUUUAGAAUCAUUUACGAAGAGGUUCCCACCAAAUCUGCACCUUGAUCCAAUUUGAAUUUACUAAGCCAUAUUUGUUUAUAAGAAAUCGUCAUCUCCUGACACUAUGACACAUUUUACCUGUGCAACACAAGAUAUCAGAGAAGCAAUAACAUUAUUUUCCGUGGCUUCUAUGACACAUUGUACCUGGGAUGUAGGUUCAUACACACACUUAGGAUAUCGCAAUAACAAUGCAGCUACUUGAAAUAAAUCAAAGAAGGUCCAGGUGGUCGUGAACCCAAUAUCCUGAAGGUAUGCAUAUUUAUCAACUGCAUUAUGCUCUAUCUAUGUUGCGUUCGGGUCUUCCGUUGUUGGUUCACGGGAUCCGUUCGUUAAUGUUGAUUCUUGCAUCAAGCCCAUAUCAACUCAUUAUUUAUGGAGUUUAGCAUUACAUCCGGAUGAUAGAAUACUCUGGCAGCUUGAAGCAAAGUAUCGAACGUUUACAACUUUCUUUUCGUACUUCCGUGACCCUCAUGUGUCAGCUGCAGGUGCCUUUUAAUUAACUUGCAUAGCUGUUUUUUUUUUUUAAACUUUCAUAGAUACUAAGCAAAAUCACUUUUCUGAGCUACAUGAGAAAUCUUCACUCAAGAAUGUGUGAAUUAAUGAAAUAAUGAAUCUUGGUUCCGCUAUUAUAUAUUAAUUCCCGUUAAGAGAUGUGAGGUCUGUGCGAAAGUAAAUUUUCUUUCACUUUCCUUGGUUUUGUGGUUAGCAUCAUCUCAAUACCAAUCUUACCAUGGUAAGAGGAUACUGUCAAGAUAUAAAAUUUCAUAUCUCAAAGCUCUCUAAUAACAAAAUUAACUUAAAUUUCACUUUUAAAUUUUGAGAUAUUUUGGAAAUGCAGAUAGCCAAGGCAACUAUACUUAUAACUCAUUAACUGUUACAUAGGUGUCGUAUAAAGUAUAAUUAUAGAGAGGGGGGAGUUGAUGAAGCAUCGGGAUUACAAAUAAGGUGUCUAUCAACUUAAUCAAUCUAUAUGUAAAAUUACAAGCAAGGAGAUGCACCAGCAACAAUGAACAAACAAAAAUCGUUAUCUGAUUAUUUAAUUUUUUCGCAUUCCUAUAUUAAAAAGUCUCAUCCUCAUGUUGCCAUCAUUUUCUCCAAUCUAUAUUGACAGUUUUAGGUGAAAAUUAUCAGUGCUCAUGCAACAUCUCCACUUGCGAGAGACUUGGCAGAUGUUAAUGCCAUCAAGAGACUCUGUAAGACCACAUCCGAGAUUAAGGGAAAAACACUCGCUCAGUUCCACAGAUGUGACAACCGUAAGAUUUGUCGGGUAUAUGUGACAUAUAACAAGAGUGGAAACGGUAGAUUUCAGGUACAUCCACGAAGAUUGGAGACUACAUUUAGAAUUCUGAGAAAGCUGUGAGAAACCUGUGAAUUGAAUGGUUGGUGGUACCAUAAGAUUUUAAGUGUGCUAUGUUUUUUCUCCCUUCGUUUUUUUAUUUACCUUUCAUGUACUGUUAAACUCUUGGCAAUUGAGGACGCAUUUUAGAUCCA